This 497-nucleotide ribosomal RNA is filed under the name uncultured bacterium. Its description in RNAcentral is "partial 16S ribosomal RNA". It matches the Rfam family "Bacterial small subunit ribosomal RNA", at positions 28 to 507 of the family's 1533-position model. The record is from RNAcentral.
GAUGAACGCUGGCGGCGUGCCUAAUACAUGCAAGUCGAGCGAACGGACGAGAAGCUUGCUCCUCUGAUGUUAGCGGCGGACGGGUAAGUAACACGUGGAUAACCUACCUAUAAGACUGGGAUAACUUCGGGAAACCGGAGCUAAUACCGGAUAAUAUUUUGAACCGCAUGGUUCAAAAGUGAAAGACGGUUUUGCUGUCACUUAUAGAUGGAUCCGCGCUGCAUUAGCUAGUUGGUAAGGUAACGGCUUACCAAGGCAACGAUGCAUAGCCGACCUGAGAGGGUGAUCGGCCACACUGGAACUGAGACACGGUCCAGACUCCUACGGGAGGCAGCAGUAGGGAAUCUUCCGCAAUGGGCGAAAGCCUGACGGAGCAACGCCGCGUGAGUGAUGAAGGUCUUCGGAUCGUAAAACUCUGUUAUUAGGGAAGAACAUAUGUGUAAGUAACUGUGCACAUCUUGACGGUACCUAAUCAGAAAGCCACGGCUAACUACGUG